UUUUUUUUUUUUUUUUUUUUGUCUUUUCUAGGGCUGCACCCACGGCAUAUGGAGGUUCCCAGGUUAGGGGCUCGAAUCAGCGCUGUAGCCAUGAGCUUAUGCCACAGCCACAGCAACUCGGGAUCUGAGCUGCCUCUGCGACCAACACCACAGCUCACAGCCACGCCAGAUCCUUAACCCACUGAGCAAGGCCAGAGAUCGAACCCACACCUCAUGGUUCCUAGGCGGAUUCAUUAACCACUGAGCCAUGACGGAAACUCCCAGUCUUCUUAAUGUUUUUUAGAAUAUAUAUAUCUUAUCCAGGGAUUUCAGUUGAAAUUAGAAGAAUAGGGAAAAAUAUGCCUACUCCAUGUUCCCGGAAGUGGAAGUCCUUCCUAACACUUUUGAAAAAGGCAUAUCUGACCAUGUGACUGGCUGGUUAAAAUCCUUCAAUGGCUUCUCAUCAGUGAGAAUAAAGACCAAAACCCUUGGAGGGGCUCUACUGAACACUCUUGCAAGACCUUGCCCCUACCAGUGGCAAAUGUUUAACAAAUGAUUCUAGGAGAGUAAGGGGACUCCUGGUUGGUAGUGUUUACUGAUUUCCAUGGUGUAAAUACCAUGAUUACGGCCAGUUUCAAGCCACCAACAUGCCAUUGCUACAUAUGGAACUGGCAAGAGAUGCUAACAAUUGAUUCUUGUACAUCAUUACAGAUUUUAUUUUAUUUUAUUUUAUUUUUUUGUAUUUUUGUAUUUUUGCUAUUUUCUUGGGCCGCUCCCGUGGCAUAUAGAGGUUCCCAGGCUUGGGGUUGAAUCAGAGCUGUAGCCGCCAGCCUGCGUCACAGCUACAGCAACAUGGGAUCCGAGCCGCGUCUGCGACCUACACCACAGCUCAAGGUAACGCCAGAUCCUUAACCCACUAAGCAAGGCCAGGGAUCGAACCCGCAACCUAGUCGGAUUUGUUAACCACUGAGCUAUGACGGGAACUCCCAGAUUCAUUUUAUAUCAGUUUCUCUUCAUGUUCCAGCCAUUCCAGGCUUCUUUAUGAAGGCACUGUGCAUUCUCCAGCUUCCAGCCCCUUCUGCAUGCUGUUGGCUCUACCUGGAGUGCCACCUUCCUCCACAUCCUUCGGUGUGGGCAAGUGCUGGAGCCAGCUUGCAUCAGCUUUACAGGAGCAACUGUUAAACUUUCAGGAAAUUUGCAAUCUGGAUGCUAAAGCUACAAAUCAGGGCCUCCUUCCUUCCUUCCUCCCUCCUUCCCUUCUUUCAUUCUUUCAGAACUGUUUUAUUUAUUUUUAACAUUUACCAGCACACCACCUCAUCUACUCCUUCAAUCUCAAACCUCUAAGAGGACUCCCCUUCCCUCCAGACUGUCUUUCUGCUUCAAAGCAUGCUGUACUUCCCCUUUCCUAAAAUGCAUUGGAAUUAUCAUUAACUGACCAUGGCUGCUCUUGCUACACACCAUAAAUCCAAUGAUGAAAGCGGACUUUUGCAAGUACUUAAAAUAUCAGAUGCCUUUUUAUCUAGAUCAGCAUGGUGUAGGUGACACACAGCAGGUUCUGUAGAUAUUUUAGAAAUAUUUGGGGAAUGAAUGGAUGCAUGAACUGACUAGAACUAAAGUAAAAUUACAACCUACUGCAAAGUAAACUAAGUAAAAUUAUGAAGGCUAGGGAUCUAUGGAGUCUACAAAAACUUUUCUAGGUUUAUGCAGCAAGAUCUAGCACACAGAACACCAUGGCCAAUCAUUACAGCAAGGUAAAUCGCCAAGGGAGAGAUCAGUACAUGAGGUUUUUAUAGUUUAAAGAAACCUUCCCAUUGCAGCUCUUUACAAAGCAAACAGCUUGCAAAUUGGUGCUGCUUCCUCUCAUGUAUCCCUACAAUACUGUCCUCCCACAUGGCUUAAAAACCUAAAAACAAAAAACUCCUUAAAGGGAUUCCUGUUGUGGCUCCGUGGACUCGACUAGCAUCCACGUGGAUGCAGAUUCAAUCCCUGGCCUCGUUCAGUGGGUUAAGGAUCCAGAGUUGCCAUGAGCUGUGGUGUAGAUUGCAGACAUGGCUGGGUUCUGGUGUUGCUGUGGCCAUGAUAUAGAGCAGCAGCUGCAGCUCCAAUUCCACUCCUAGCCUGGGAACUUACAUAUGCCGCUUACUCCUUAAAAAUAGGAGUUCUCGGGAAUUCCCGUCGUGGCACAGUGGAAAUGAAUCCGACUAGGAUCCAUGAGGUUGUGGGUUCAAUCCCUGGUCUUGCUCAGUGGGUUAAGGAUCCGGCUGUGCGCGGGCUGCAGGUCGCGGCCGAGGCGGAGGAAACAGCCGCCGCCCCUGCGGAGGGAGUGAGGCCGGGGGCUUCCCGAGGAAGGGCGAUGAGAGCGAGUCCUUUCGAACAUUUCCACCCGGCUCUCUC
RNAcentral lists this long non-coding RNA (2373 nucleotides) under Sus scrofa (pig). RNAcentral describes it as "lncRNA (ENSSSCG00055016258.1, ENSSSCG00065026092.1)". Lineage: Eukaryota; Metazoa; Chordata; Mammalia; Artiodactyla; Suidae. The record is from RNAcentral.